GAUGAAUAGAGUCCGCCCACUGCCCUGUCCUAUAGCCCAUUCUGGCUGCAAAACCCGAAUGGUGUACCUAGGAAACUCAAAAUACAACCUCUAAAUAAACAUCUAAACAAUUUAUAAUUGCAAUAUAAAAUGUUCACAACAGAAUUUGUGGGACGAACAACUCACUUCCCUCCCUUCUUGGCAGCUGAUUUUGUGACCUUAGCUCCAGUUGGGUCCUUCUUCUCCACGCUCUUGAUAACACCAACUGCAACA
RNAcentral lists this unclassified non-coding RNA (252 nucleotides) under Hevea brasiliensis (rubber tree). Lineage: Eukaryota; Viridiplantae; Streptophyta; Magnoliopsida; Malpighiales; Euphorbiaceae. The record is from RNAcentral.